UGGAAUUCUGGCAUAGAAGUAGACGUGUUC
This 30-nucleotide non-coding RNA is filed under the name Mus musculus (house mouse). Lineage: Eukaryota; Metazoa; Chordata; Mammalia; Rodentia; Muridae. The record is from RNAcentral.